GAUGAAGAACGUAGCGAAAUGCGAUAAGUAGUGUGAAUUGCAGAAUUCAGUGAAUCGUCGAAUCUUUGAACGCACAUUGCGCCCCUUGGUAUUCCAUGGGGCAUGCCUGUUCGAGCGUCAUUUGUACCUUCAAGCUCUGCUUGGUGUUGGGUGUUUGUCUCGCCUCUGCGCGUAGACUCGCCUCAAAACAAUUGGCAGCCGGCGUAUUGAUUUCGGAGCGCAGUACAUCUCGCGCUUUGCACUCAUAACGACGACGUCCAAAAGUACAUUUUUACACUCUUGACCUCGGAUCAGGUAGGGAUACCCGCUGAACUUAAGCAUAUCAAUAAGCGGAGGA
This 337-nucleotide unclassified non-coding RNA is filed under the name soil metagenome. Its description in RNAcentral is "partial contains 5.8S ribosomal RNA, internal transcribed spacer 2, and large subunit ribosomal RNA". The stretch from base 1 to 120 matches the Rfam family "5.8S ribosomal RNA", at positions 35 to 154 of the family's 154-position model. The record is from RNAcentral.